RNAcentral lists this ribosomal RNA (690 nucleotides) under uncultured Acidobacteriota bacterium. RNAcentral describes it as "bacterial SSU rRNA". It matches the Rfam family "Bacterial small subunit ribosomal RNA", at positions 15 to 684 of the family's 1533-position model. The record is from RNAcentral. Lineage: Bacteria; Pseudomonadati; Acidobacteriota.
GAUCCUGGCUCAGAAUCAACGCUGGCGGCGUGCCUAACACAUGCAAGUCGAACGCGAAAGCCCCUUCGGGGGUAAGUAGAGUGGCGCCCGGGUGAGUAACACGUGGGUAAUCUGCCUUCGGGUGGGGAAUAACCCAGGGAAACUUGGGCUAAUACCGCAUAAUGCAGCGGCACCUAAUGGUGAUUAGUUGUUAAAGCGGGGGAUCGCAAGACCUCGCGCCUGAAGAGGAGCCUGCGGCAGAUUAGCUAGUUGGUGAGGUAAUGGCUCACCAAGGCUUCGAUCUGUAGCUGGUCUGAGAGGACGGCCAGCCACACUGGCACUGACACACGGGCCAGACUCCUACGGGAGGCAGCAGUGGGGAAUUUUGGGCAAUGGGCGCAAGCCUGACCCAGCAACGCCGCGUGAGGGAGGAAAUCCUUCGGGAUGUAAACCUCACAAGCAAGGGAAGAGAGCUACGGGCUGAAUAAUCCCGUAGUGCGACGGUACCUUGCGUAAGCCACGGCUAACUACGUGCCAGCAGCCGCGGUAAUACGUAGGUGGCAAGCGUUGUUCGGAAUUAUUGGGCGUAAAGGGCGCGUAGGCGGCAUGUUAAGUCGGCUGUGAAAGCCCGGGGCUCAACCCCGGAGGGUCAGCCGAUACUGGCAAGCUAGAGUACGGAAGAGGUAGCUGGAAUUCCCGGUGUAGCGGUGA